AAUUACCUACGGGGGGCAGCAGUAGGGAAUAUUGCGCAAUGGGCGAAAGCCUGACGCAGCGACGCCGCGUGAGGGAUGAAGGUCUUCGGAUCGUAAACCUCUGUCAGCAGGGAAGAACGGUCACUGUGCUAAUUAGCAGUGAAUUGACGGUACCUGCAAAGGAAGCACCGGCUAACUCCGUGCCAGCAGCCGCGGUAAUACGGAGGGUGCGAGCGCUAAUCGGAAUUACUGGGCGUAAAGCGCUCGUAGGCGGUAUGUCAAGUCAAGGGUGAAAACCCC
This 279-nucleotide ribosomal RNA is filed under the name uncultured bacterium. RNAcentral's name for it is "partial 16S ribosomal RNA". It matches the Rfam family "Bacterial small subunit ribosomal RNA", at positions 333 to 604 of the family's 1533-position model. The record is from RNAcentral.